RNAcentral lists this long non-coding RNA (1540 nucleotides) under Heterocephalus glaber (naked mole-rat). RNAcentral describes it as "lncRNA (ENSHGLG00000040647.1)". The record is from RNAcentral. Lineage: Eukaryota; Metazoa; Chordata; Mammalia; Rodentia; Bathyergidae.
ACCAGCAUGCCCAGCUAUAACUCUUAAUCUAAGGGAAAGUUCAAAACUAUGGUAGUUAGUACAGGCUCUGAGGAAGACAAAGGUAUCCUGGAUGAACCUGUUCUAAGACUCCCAUUUGUCUCUCAGGAGGAUAUGGGUCUCUGAUCUGCCUGAUGAUAUGGGGAAUUCUCUUCUACCUCCUCCUUAAAGUUCCCAGGCUAAUAAAUCAGCCUCUUCUUUAGUUACAGAUGUACAAGAGGCUAGGAACUGUGCAAAUGAACAAUGUUUUUAAAAUGAAAGGAAACCACCUUAGAAAGGUUAUUCCCCCUUCAACAGAACCAAAUGGACUAUAAUACUAGUCACAGACUAGAAAUGAUAUCUGAUAUGCUAGCUGCUCUUACCAGGGAAAUAAAGAGGGUAUGUUGAGUCUUUUGUAAGUAUACUAAUAUAGGUCCAUCUUCUAGGGAGGGAGAGGCGACAACAUUUCAUCUGUCAAUCAGCUCCAGAUAUUCAGCAUAAGCUACAAAAACUUCAGACAGGGCCUCAGACACCUAUAACCGAAUUGCUAGAUAUGAUCUUUUUUGUGUUCAACAGUCAGGACCCAGAGGAGAGAAAACAGAAAGUCUGGUUAUAGCCAUUGCAAUUGGUAAUGCUUUAAACCUACCCAGGUCAUCUAAGGAAAAACCCAAGGACAACUAAGAAAAUGAUUCCUGUUUCAAGAGUAAAAAGACUAGAUACUGGGCACAAGAUUACACCAAACUUGCACCUAGGCCCUGUUCCUGUGUCACUGGAGUAUCCUACUCCCUUGCUAAGAAGAGGUUUAUUAACAAAAUUGGAGGCAAGUCUCAAAUUCCAGCUAAGGCCAAAAUGGAGUUUACUUGCUGGGACUACAGGAGUUCUCCCUGACCAAAUUAGCCAACAGAAAUGAAAAUAAUGCAAGCUGUGUGUGGUGGCGCACACCUAUAAUCCCAGCACUUGGGAGGUUGAGGCAGGAGGAUGGCCAUGAGUUUGAGACCAGCCUGGACUACACAAUGAGACCCUGUCUCAGAAGAAAAUAAAGGAAGAAAAGAAAUGAAAAUUAUGGGAAUGAAGGGGUCAUCUCAUGUACAGAUAAGAAUUCAGGAUGAAGAGGUGAUGCGCCAGGAAGCAAUGUUAAAGGGAGGGACUUCUGGGAAGAUGGCAGAAUGGUAAGCAGUCACAAAGCAGCCUCUCCAAGAUUCAGAAUGCAGACACUGGAAAACCUUAGAAAGAAAAGAAGAAGAGAGGUGGAUCUCCGGGACCCAGGAAGAAUCUGGAGGGAAAAUUGGAGCCUGCAGAGAAAUUGAAGAAACUGACCACAAUGCAGAAAAAGGAAGGGGAAAUCUGCACUCUCUCCCCAGCUCUUGGCUCAUGAGAAGGGAAGAUUGACUCUACAGAGACAUAGUGGAAGUGGGGAACUCCAGAGGCCUUCAGGAAGAAAUGCACUAGUGGAACAGAGCAGUGGAUGCUGUGUGCUACAACAGUUGAACAUGAGAAUGACAGUGAUGAUGAUGAUGAAGCUGAGGAACUGGUGAGUGAUGAA